This 478-nucleotide ribosomal RNA is filed under the name uncultured Comamonadaceae bacterium. RNAcentral's name for it is "bacterial SSU rRNA". It matches the Rfam family "Bacterial small subunit ribosomal RNA", at positions 97 to 570 of the family's 1533-position model. Lineage: Bacteria; Pseudomonadati; Pseudomonadota; Betaproteobacteria; Burkholderiales; Comamonadaceae. The record is from RNAcentral.
GGCGAACGGUUUGAGUAAUGCAUCGGAACGUGCCCAGUCGUGGGGGAUAACGCAGCGAAAGCUGUGCUAAUACCGCAUACGAUCUAUGGAUGAAAGCGGGGGACCUUCGGGCCUCGCGCGAUUGGAGCGGCCGAUGUUAGAUUAGGUAGUUGGUGGGGUAAAGGCUCACCAAGCCAACGAUCUAUAGCUGGUCUGAGAGGACGACCAGCCACACUGGAACUGAGACACGGUCCAGACUCCUACGGGAGGCAGCAGUGGGGAAUUUUGGACAAUGGGCGAAAGCCUGAUUCAGCAAUACCGCGUGCAGGAAGAAGGCCCUCGGGUUGUAAACUGCUUUUGUACGGAACGAAACGGCGCGCUCUAAUAAAGUGCGCUAAUGACGGUACCGUAAGAAUAAGCACCGGCUAACUACGUGCCAGCAGCCGCGGUAAUACGUAGGGUGCGAGCGUUAAUCGGAAUUACUGGGCGUAAAGCGUGC